GGAGAGAUGUCCGAGCGGCUGAAGGAGCACGAUUGGAAAUCGUGUGUACGCUAAUACCGUACCGUGGGUUCAAAUCCCACUCUCUCCG
This 88-nucleotide transfer RNA is filed under the name Geobacter sp. OR-1. It matches the Rfam family "tRNA". Rfam says of the family: Transfer RNA (tRNA) molecules are approximately 80 nucleotides in length. The record is from Rfam by way of RNAcentral. Lineage: Bacteria; Pseudomonadati; Thermodesulfobacteriota; Desulfuromonadia; Geobacterales; Geobacteraceae.